RNAcentral lists this ribosomal RNA (465 nucleotides) under uncultured bacterium. RNAcentral's name for it is "partial 16S ribosomal RNA". It matches the Rfam family "Bacterial small subunit ribosomal RNA", at positions 338 to 795 of the family's 1533-position model. The record is from RNAcentral.
CCUACGGGAUGCAGCAGUGGGGAAUUUUGCGCAAUGCUCGUAAGAGUGACGCAGCGACGCCGCGUGAAUGACGAAGGCCUUCGGGUCGUAAAGUUCUUUCGACAGGGAAGAAAAUGCCUAUAAGUAACUGUGUAUGUAUUGACGGUCCCUGUAUAAGCAGCCCCGGCUAACUCCGUGCCAGCAGCCGCGGUAAUACGGAGGGGGCGAGCGUUGUUCGGAGGGACUGGGCGUAAAGAGCACGUAGGCGGUGUUGUAAGUCAUUAGUCAAAGACUAGAGCUCAACUUUAGUAAGGCUAGUGAUACUAUAAUACUAGAGUAUCAGAGAGGAUUGCAGAAUUCCUGGUGUAGCGGGGAAAUGCGUAGAUAUCAGGAGGAAUACCGUUAGCGAAGGCGGCAAUCUGGCUGGAAACUGACGCUGAGGUGCGAAAGCGUGGGUAGCAAACAGGAUUAGAUACCCGGGUAGUC